Long non-coding RNA from Cercocebus atys (sooty mangabey), 2935 nucleotides. RefSeq lists it as uncharacterized. The transcript is spliced from 4 exons. NCBI's taxonomy places the organism in Eukaryota, Metazoa, Chordata, Mammalia, Primates, Cercopithecidae. The record is from RefSeq and is a predicted model, not a curated record.
AUAAUUAUAAAUUUUCAGGACACGUUUAUAGGGAAAAUAACCACUCAUGAUAUGUGCAAAACAUAGAGGAUUUAUUUUCCAGACACAGUAUUUCCAGAAGCAAUCAGGAGUCUCACGUUUCUUAUAUGGUUUCCUGAUUCUGGCCAAAAGAUGACUCAGUAAAAUGUCAGGAUCUUGUCCAGAGAAAUCCUGAAACUGAAACAAUCCAAACAAAAAAACAGCAGCAUCUCUGGCAGUAUCUGCAGAAGAGAAGCUCUUUCUAGCUCCUCCGGAGUUAACGGCGCAUCUUCAUGAGGUGCUACAGAGGAAAAACAGAGACUUAACAAUUCAGUUCAUCCAGUUGGUUAUGUCUGUUCCUCGUGUCUUUGGAGAGUACCAGAGACAGGGAGAUGAACACUAGAAAAACGUCCAACGCUAAGUUCACGACGUGUCAUCAGUGGUGUUCUAAAAGAGGCGGAAAUGCUACCAGCCCAUGUGCCAGCCGGCAGAACGGGAAGCCGGGAGACGUGGAUCUGACGACCGCGUGAUGCGCCAAGCCCCUCGAUUGCCUUGAGUAAGAGCUGAGGGCUGAGCCACAGCCUCUCUCAAAACCAUUUUGGUUCAAAACGUCUGACUCUCCCUCAUUUCUGCUUAACUACUGCUGCCUACUGCCUUUUUGCUUUUAGAUAUUUGGGCAGUGAAAUUGGAGAGGAAAAAGAAGAUUGUUUACGACCUUCCUGUAAAGCCAGUAGGAUGGUAUCACCUCUUCUCUUACUAAACUUCAAGAUUUCAACACAAUUAUUAUACUUAGGAUCGGCUUCAAACUCAUCGAAAUGUCCGUCACCAUCCUGGUGACCUAGAAGGCUACUGCACAAAGAAGAAUGGGCUGCCAAGGAGCGAUGUUCCGGGUCUGGAUCUAGUCCAGCGCGGGCUGUGUCAUGCACCUGAGUGAUGGCCAGCGGAGAGGAAGGCUGACGUGGAAAUAAAUAUCCGCUCUGUUUAUUGAUCUGAUUCAUCCAAUUACCUAGGAGGUUCGAUUGAGAGAGGUCCAAGGAAAUGACUCAAAUGUCACCUGAAUGAUGCCUGAAAGGCUUCAGCCAGCAUUUUUCUCCUAUCACUGUUUUCAGAGGAGACUUUUAGUUACCGAGAAUAUUAAUUGCUGCUGAGAGCUGGGUGUGAAGUUAAAUGGAAAUGAAAGCCCCCAACAGCUGUGCUCCGUGUGAUGGCUCAGCGGGGAGAGUGGAUGCUGAGCUGAACUGGGCCAGCUGGCUCAUUUUACUUGACAGUUUUCAUUUCUAUUUCUUCUCUUUAACUCAUAAAUAAUGGAACAUCGCUGUUACGUGCUGAGUUGUGUCACCCCAAAACUCACAUGUUGAAGGUUUAACCCCCGGCACCUUCGAAGGUGGCCGUAUUUGGAGACGAGCUCCUCAAAUAGGCAAGUAAAUUAAGGGAGGCCCUGGUCCAUUAGGAUUGGUGUCCUUAUAGAGAGGAGAUGAGGACACAGACACACAGAGGGACGACCGUGUGAGGACACAGGGAGAAGAAGGCGUCUACAAGCCAAGCUCAAGAGAGGCCUUGUCGGGGGGAACCAGCCCUGUCAACACUUUGAUCUUGGACUUCCAGCCUCCAGGACUGCAAAAAAUGUCAUUUCUGUCGUUGAAGCCUCUCAGUCGGUUUGUUUGUUAUGGUAGCCCCAGCAAACUAAGACACUACCCUUGACACCUCUAUUCCAUUUCCAAUCUGAUCACCAAACUGAGUAAAUUCUGCGUAGCGCAUCCGAGGACCUAACAAUUCACAGAGGAAUUUGAUUUUUCAGGUGAGAAAACUUUCUUGUCCACUGAAACAGUAGCUAAGCUUUGAUUUCCAAAGUUCUCCUUACGGUCAUUCAAGGCCUUUUGCUUACCAGAGUCCUCCAGUGUAGAGAUAGAGGGAGAGAAUCUCUCCUCAAGUUUCUAAAAACAAAGGAUAUUAAACUAUUAUUUCUGCUCAAAUCAUUUGAUCUUUAUUACUUUUCCAUUGUCAACGUUCUCUAGCCAAAGAUCACCAGGAGCGCACUUAUAGCCAAACAAAAUUGAGUUUUUUUACUCAUUUCAUGAAACCAAAAACCACAGGUAACCAUGAGGAGGUCUCAGUAAUAUCGAAAAGGACUUACAGUGUCUGGGCUUGAGUUGGGUGAUUUGGGGGAGGAUCCAGGAUGCUGUCAGGAAGAAGGGGGUGAUUCUGUGCUUGGCUAUCUUAAUAAUUGUCACCUAAAAGGCUAAAAGAGCCAUGUGAGGCUAAGGCCACUGUUGGCAGAAAAGCAGCUAUCACUGACAUCAGCCAGGAUAGGUGAUGAGGGAUCAUUUUUUUGUUUCAAUGUUCUUGCUUUGAUCUCAGCAGACAAAAUUGCAGGCAGAGUGGUCUUGUCUUCUUGAUCUGGUGCCAUCAUGCGUGCUCUUCUCUGAGUUGAUGUUCUUGAAAUCCUCGCUGUUGAGUGGGACACAAGGGCAGCUGUGAGGGUCAGCCCUGCUCUCUUCCCACUCCUCUGUGUACUUAUCAGUUACGUAACACAACGUGCUCUCUCUAUGGUGUAGAAGCAUGGAGUCCUUUACAGGGGCAGCCCCAGCAUCCUCCCUCACCUCCCAGGCCCCUGACCCGGCCCGGCUUCACUCCACAGCCCUGCACCCCACAAUGUGCUGUGAGUUUGUUGACGUGUGGUUUGUUGGCAUUGGCAGGUCCAUGAGGGCAGGGCCAUGUCAGCAGGCGUACCUUGUUUUAUUGAUCUUCACUCAGUUGUACUUCAGAUAUUGCAUUUUUUUAAAAUGGAAGGUUUAUGGCAACUGUGCAUCGAGCAAGUCUAUCAGCAUCAUUUUUCCAGCAGUGUGUGCUCACUUUGAGUCUCUGUGCCACAUUUUCAUAAUUCUCACAAUAUUUCAAACUCUUUCUUAUUAUUAUAUCUACUAAGAUGACCUGUGCU